UAAACUUCUGCAAUUUACACAAAAAUAUGUCAUUGGGUCAGUAGGUGUAUUGUGUCUGCACGCGGUAUAGUUUCAAUAAAAAUAUAGCGCUGUGAUGAUUUCGUUUGUGUGGCAAAAAUGGACUUAAUUAACCUGCAAAAAGUAAAAGAGAAGAAAUAAAUCUCUGUUGAUCUUGGAUUACUAUCUGGUUACUGAUUUCUAGGGAUGUAAGGCUGCAAAAUUUACGAAUGUGACGGGAAGGAACAAUGGCAACUUGCUACAUGCGCAUCCGUUUAUCAACUUCCCAAGAGCUAAAUACAUCAUCAGAGUCACUAUCUUCAAAUUCAUCGACAUUAGACAACUCAUUUGCAUGUUCGAGUGAAGAAGAAGGUGGACUUAGGUACAAUAACAAUUUAGAGUAUGUUUCAUAAAACGA
Molecule: long non-coding RNA, 415 nt
Organism: Ruditapes philippinarum (Manila clam)
Lineage: Eukaryota; Metazoa; Mollusca; Bivalvia; Venerida; Veneridae
Exons: 3
Source: RefSeq, a predicted model, not a curated record